This 471-nucleotide ribosomal RNA is filed under the name Shigella sonnei. Its description in RNAcentral is "partial 23S ribosomal RNA". It matches the Rfam family "Bacterial large subunit ribosomal RNA", at positions 2187 to 2657 of the family's 2925-position model. The record is from RNAcentral. Lineage: Bacteria; Pseudomonadati; Pseudomonadota; Gammaproteobacteria; Enterobacterales; Enterobacteriaceae.
CGGCCUUGAAAUACCACCCUUUAAUGUUUGAUGUUCUAACGUGGACCCGUGAUCCGGGUUGCGGACAGUGUCUGGUGGGUAGUUUGACUGGGGCGGUCUCCUCCUAAAGAGUAACGGAGGAGCACGAAGGUUGGCUAAUCCUGGUCGGACAUCAGGAGGUUAGUGCAAUGGCAUAAGCCAGCUUGACUGCGAGCGUGACGGCGCGAGCAGGUGCGAAAGCAGGUCAUAGUGAUCCGGUGGUUCUGAAUGGAAGGGCCAUCGCUCAACGGAUAAAAGGUACUCCGGGGAUAACAGGCUGAUACCGCCCAAGAGUUCAUAUCGACGGCGGUGUUUGGCACCUCGAUGUCGGCUCAUCACAUCCUGGGGCUGAAGUAGGUCCCAAGGGUAUGGCUGUUCGCCAUUUAAAGUGGUACGCGAGCUGGGUUUAGAACGUCGUGAGACAGUUCGGUCCCUAUCUGCCGUGGGCGCUGG